This 430-nucleotide ribosomal RNA is filed under the name uncultured Verrucomicrobiota bacterium. RNAcentral describes it as "bacterial SSU rRNA". It matches the Rfam family "Bacterial small subunit ribosomal RNA", at positions 1075 to 1499 of the family's 1533-position model. The record is from RNAcentral. Lineage: Bacteria; Pseudomonadati; Verrucomicrobiota.
UUGGGUUAAGNCCCGCAACGAGCGCAACCCCUGUGAACUGUUGCCACCGAGCCGUGAGGCUCGAGCACUCUGUUCAGACUGCCCCGCUCUAACGGGGAGGAAGGUGGGGACGACGUCAAGUCAGUAUGGCCCUUACGGCCUGGGCUGCACACGUACUACAAUGCCCAGCACAGAACGAUCCAAGACCGCGAGGUGGAGGAAAUCACUAAAACUGGGCCCAGUUCAGAUUGAAGUCUGCAACUCGACUUCAUGAAGCCGGAAUCGCUAGUAAUGGCGUAUCAGCUACGACGCCGUGAAUACGUUCCCGGGCCUUGUACACACCGCCCGUCACAUCAUGGGAGUCGCUUGUAGCCGAAGUCGGCGCGCUAACCGCAAGGAGGCAGCCGCCUACGCUAUGAGCGGUAACUGGGAUGAAGUCGUAACAAGGUAA